Molecule: ribosomal RNA, 466 nt
Filed under: uncultured bacterium
Lineage: Bacteria
Description: partial 16S ribosomal RNA
Rfam family: Bacterial small subunit ribosomal RNA
Source: RNAcentral
GAUGAACGCUGGCGGCGUGCUUAACACAUGCAAGUCGAACGGAAAGGCCCAAGCUUGCUUGGGUACUCGAGUGGCGAACGGGUGAGUAACACGUGGGUGAUCUGCCCUGCACUUCGGGAUAAGCCUGGGAAACUGGGUCUAAUACCGGAUAGGACCACAUUUUGGAUGGUGUGGUGGAAAGUUUUUCGGUGUGGGAUGAGCUCGCGGCCUAUCAGCUUGUUGGUGGGGUAAUGGCCUACCAAGGCGUCGACGGGUAGCCGGCCUGAGAGGGUGCACGGCCACAUUGGGACUGAGAUACGGCCCAGACUCCUACGGGAGGCAGCAGUGGGGAAUAUUGCACAAUGGGCGCAAGCCUGAUGCAGCGACGCCGCGUGGGGGAUGACGGCCUUCGGGUUGUAAACUCCUUUCGCUAGGGACGAAGCGUUAUGUGACGGUACCUGGAGAAGAAGCACCGGCUAACUACGUG